This is a ribosomal RNA of Amphilophus citrinellus (Midas cichlid), 119 nucleotides long. The record is from Ensembl. NCBI's taxonomy places the organism in Eukaryota, Metazoa, Chordata, Actinopteri, Cichliformes, Cichlidae.
GCUUACGGCCACACCACCCUGAACACGCCCGAUCUCGUCUGAUCUCGGAAGCUAAGCAGGGUCGGGCCUGGUCAGUACUUGGAUGGGAGACCGCCUGGGAAUACCAGGUGCUGUAAGYU